UGGAAACCCACAGCAGCGGGUCAGACCCGAGGAAAGAAACUGCAAUUGUGGAGAGCACCAGAUGCAGAACAGAAGUCUCUGCUGGUUUGCUUGUUGCAAAAGGCCCCCGCUGACUUUACCUUUGGGUCUGUUCUACCAUCUCUCAUUGUUUCACAAUUAGUGCGGCCCGAAGCCAGAGGGAGCCCUUCUGCUGGGAGGGAAACUGAUGCAGGCUGCGUAUCGGCAGCGUAGGGGAACGAACCGGAUGAGAGGAGAAUAUUUAUUUAUUAUGGGAAUGUCUGAAGUUAUCCUUUCUGCUGGCUUUUGGCUCAAGGAGGAGCACCCCGCGUGCCACCCAGAGUCAAAGGGUAAGUGCAGUGAAAAAUAACAAUCAAAGAAAAAAAAACCAGCAAGGAAAAAGAAAAAAAAAAGAAAGGAAAAGGAAAGAGGUAGCGUUGCAAGUAAAGCUGGG
Gallus gallus (chicken) is the source of this 451-nucleotide long non-coding RNA. The record is from Ensembl. NCBI's taxonomy places the organism in Eukaryota, Metazoa, Chordata, Aves, Galliformes, Phasianidae.